Triticum aestivum (bread wheat) is the source of this 135-nucleotide non-coding RNA. NCBI's taxonomy places the organism in Eukaryota, Viridiplantae, Streptophyta, Magnoliopsida, Poales, Poaceae. The record is from Rfam.
UUGGUACUCCCUCCGUCCGAAAAUACUUAUCAUCAAAAUGAAUAAAAAGGGAUGUAUCUAGAACUAAAAUACAUCUAAAAACAUUUCCUUUUGUUUAUUUUGAUGACAAGUAUUUCCGGACGGAGGGAGUAGUAC